GACGAACGCUGGCGGCGUGCUUAACACAUGCAAGUCGAACGGAAAGGCCAUGCUUUUGUGGGGUGCUCGAGUGGCGAACGGGUGAGUAACACGUGAGUAAACUGCCCUUGACUUUGGGAUAACUUCAGGAAACUGGGGCUAAUACCGGAUAGGAGCUCUUGCUGCACGGUGGGGGUUGGAAAGUUUCGGCGGUUGGGGCUGGUCUCGCGGCUUAUCAGCUUGUUGGUGGGGUAGUGGCUUACCAAGGCUUUGACGGGUAGCCGGCCUGAGAGGGUGACCGGCCACAUGGGGACUGAGAUACGGCCCAGACGCCUACGGGAGGCAGCAGUGGGGAAUAUUGCACAAUAGGCGGAAGCCUGAUGCAGCAGCGCCGCGUGCGGGAUGACGGCCUUCGGGUUGUAAACCGCUUUCGCCUGUGACGAAGCGUGAGUGACGGUAAUGGGUAAAGAAGCACCGGCUAACUACGUG
Molecule: ribosomal RNA, 468 nt
Filed under: uncultured bacterium
Lineage: Bacteria
Description: partial 16S ribosomal RNA
Rfam family: Bacterial small subunit ribosomal RNA
Source: RNAcentral